CUUGGUCAUUUAGAGGAAGUAAAAGUCGUAACAAGGUUUCCGUAGGUGAACCUGCGGAAGGAUCAUUACCUAGAGUUUGUGGGCUUUGCCUGCUAUCUCUUACCCAUGUCUUUUGAGUACUUACGUUUCCUCGGUGGGUUCGCCCGCCGAUUGGACAAUUUAAACCCUUUGCAGUUGCAAUCAGCGUCUGAAAAACAUAAUAGUUACAACUUUCAACAACGGAUCUCUUGGUUCUGGCAUCGAUGAAGAACGCAGCGAAAUGCGAUAAGUAGUGUGAAUUGCAGAAUUCAGUGAAUCAUCGAAUCUUUGAACGCACAUUGCGCCCCUUGGUAUUCCAUGGGGCAUGCCUGUUCGAGCGUCAUUUGUACCUUCAAGCUUUGCUUGGUGUUGGGUGUUUGUCUCGCCUUUGCGUGUAGACUCGCCUUAAAACAAUUGGCAGCCGGCGUAUUGAUUUCGGAGCGCAGUACAUCUCGCGCUUUGCACUCAUAACGACGACGUCCAAAAGUACAUUUUUUACACUCUUGACCUCGGAUCAGGUAGGGAUACCCGCUGAACUUAAGCAUAUCAAUAAGCGGAGGA
RNAcentral lists this ribosomal RNA (579 nucleotides) under uncultured Phoma. Its description in RNAcentral is "eukaryotic LSU rRNA". The stretch from base 208 to 361 matches the Rfam family "5.8S ribosomal RNA". The record is from RNAcentral. Lineage: Eukaryota; Fungi; Ascomycota.